RNAcentral lists this ribosomal RNA (454 nucleotides) under uncultured bacterium. Its description in RNAcentral is "bacterial SSU rRNA". It matches the Rfam family "Bacterial small subunit ribosomal RNA", at positions 340 to 786 of the family's 1533-position model. The record is from RNAcentral.
UACGGGAGCAGCAGUGGGGAAUAUUGCACAAUGGGCGCAAGCCUGAUGCAGCCAUGCCGCGUGUAUGAAGAAGGCCUUCGGGUUGUAAAGUACUUUCAGUCGUGAGGAAGGUGUUAAGGUUAAUAACCUUAGCAAUUGACGUUAGCGACAGAAGAAGCACCGGCUAACUCCGUGCCAGCAGCCGCGGUAAUACGGAGGGUGCGAGCGUUAAUCGGAAUUACUGGGCGUAAAGGGCACGCAGGCGGUUAAUUAAGUUGGAUGUGAAAUCCCCGGGCUUAACCUGGGAAUGGCAUUCAAGACUGGUUAGCUAGAGUCUUGUAGAGGGGGUAGAAUUCCGAUGUGUAGCGGUGAAAUGCGUAGAGAUGUGGAGGAAUACCGGGUGGCGAAGGCGGCCCCUGGGACAAAGACUGACGCUCAUGUGCGAAAGCGUGGGGAGCAAACAGGAUUAGAUACC